AACUGCGAAUGGGUCAUUAUAUUAGUUAUCGGUUAUUUGAUAGUACCUUAGUACUUGGAUAACCGGGCCACUUCUAGAGCUAAUACAUGCUAAAAAUCCCGACUUCGGGAGGCAUGUAUUUAUUAAAUUAAAAACCAAUGCCCUCCGGGGCUCACUGGUGAUUCAUGAUAACUCCUCGAAUCGCAUGGCCUUGCGCCGGCGAUGGUUCAUUCAAAUUUCUUCCCUAUCAACUUUCGAUGUUUGGGUAUUGGCCAAACAUGGUUGCAACGGGUAACGGAGGGUUAGGGCUCGACCCCGGAGAAGGAGCCUGAGAAACGGCUACUACAUCCAAGGAAGGCAGCAGGCGCGCAAAUUACCCAAUCCCGACUCGGGGAGGUAGUGACAAUAAAUACUGAUACAGGGCUCUUUUGGGUCUUGUAAUUGGAAUGAGUACAAUUUAAAUCCCUUAACGAGGAACAAUUGGAGGGCAAGUCUGGUGCCAGCAGCCGCGGUAAUUCCAGCUCCAAUAGCGUAUAUUAAAGUUGUUGUGGUUAAAAAGCUCGUAGUUGAACCUUGGGCCUGGCUGGCCGGUCCGCCUCACCGCGUGUACUGGUCCGGCCGGGCCUUUCCCUCUGUGGAACCCCAUGCCCUUCACUGGGUGUGGCGGGGAAACAGGACUUUUACUGUGAAAAAAUUAGAGUGCUCCAGGCAGGCCUAUGCUCGAAUACAUUAGCAUGGAAUAAUAGAAUAGGACGUGUGGUUCUAUUUUGUUG
Molecule: ribosomal RNA, 752 nt
Filed under: Fusarium neocosmosporiellum
Lineage: Eukaryota; Fungi; Ascomycota; Sordariomycetes; Hypocreales; Nectriaceae
Description: SSU rRNA
Rfam family: Eukaryotic small subunit ribosomal RNA
Source: RNAcentral